CUAGUCACAAAAAAAUAAAUUAAUGAAAAAACUUACUAUUUUAAGGGCAUGUUUGGUUCAUGAUUGGAAUAGAAAUGAGAAAUAAAAUUAGAUUGCUUUGGAAUGGAAAAUGAAAUGACAAAUCAUACAAAAAUAUUUGGUUUAUUAUUGGAAUGAAAAUCGGAAUGAAAAUUUAAAAUUUUUGAGAGAAGAUUUUGAUUAAGAGAGAGGAAAUGAUGAAGGAAGAGGAGUUAGGUGUUGAUGAAAGAGGAUUUUGAAUAGUUUACUUAAAAAUGAGCCAAUCCGGAAUUCAAUGCCGGAUUGGAUCAUAAAUGGAUUUGGCCAUUCCCAUUCCGGAGUGGAAUGGGAAUCGGAAUCCGAUUCCUAUAAAACAAACGGUAAUUAUCAGAAUCAAUAAAUUUCAUUCCGAUUCCAUAGUCUAAAAUAGGUGAACCAAACAUGCCCUAAGUUCAAAUUCUCUCUUAAACAGUGUAGAUUUUUUAAAACUACUCUAACAAACCAUGCAUUAUCUAUUUACUAUAUACUAAAAUAGAACUGACACGUGACUUUCUAUAUGCUUGUCACGUGUCAAACUGAAAUAUAUAAUAGCAAUUUAGUAAAUAGAUUAGGAAACACUAUUAAAUCAAAUUAAAUCACUAUUAAACACUAUUAAAAUAAUUAUAUAUACAAUUAACUAUAAUUUUAUUAGGAAACACUAUUAAACACUAUUAAAUUAAAUUUGGCUAUCAAUUAGAUGGUUAAAAAUAGAAUUUUAUUAGGAAACGCUAUUAAAUCAAAUUAUACCAAUUAAGUAUAAUUAUAUAUACAAUUAAAUAGAAUUUUAUUAGGAAACACUAUUAAACACUAUCCACAUGUCAAACUCAAAUAUAGCAAUUUAGUAAAUAGAUUAAGAAACACUAUUAAAUCAAAUUAAAUCACUAUUAAACACUAUUAUUAUAAUUAUAUAUACAAUUAACUAGAAUUUUAUUAGGAAACACUAUUAAACACUAUUAAAUCAAAUUAUAAUUAUAUAUAGAACUAACUAGAAUUUUAUUAGGAAACACUAUUAAACACAAUUAAAUCAAAUUAUAAUUAUAUAUAUAAUUAAUUAAUCAAAUUACAUGUUUAUCAUGCAUCUUUUUAUAUGCUUGCCACAUGUCAAACUCAAAUAUAGCAAUUUAGUAAAUAGAUUAAGAAACACUAUUAAAUCAAAUUAAAUCACUAUUAAACACUAUUAUUAUAAUUAUAUAUACAAUUAACUAGAAUUUUAUUAGGAAACACUAUUAAACACUAUUAAAUCAAAUUAUAAUUAUAUAUAUACAAUUAAAUCAAAUUAAAUCAAAUUAAAUAUUUAUCAUGUAUCUUUCUAUAUANUGAUUGGAGGCGAGGAGGGCGGGGUGUGCGCAUGCGAGAGCGAGGGCGAAGGCGAGGGCGAGGGUGUGAGGGGCAGAGGAGGGGGGGCCGUUUCCGCCUCCGCCUCCGCGGACUUCUUCUGCGAGAAAAAAAAAAAGAACGCGGCAAAAAAAAAGGAUAGAGAAAAAAAAAGUAUAAGAGUAUUUUAAUCAGUUUGUUGAAAAUUUGGACCGAAUCUGUAAAAUCGAAAAAGACCGUCCAAUUUUACAAAAGCUCAAAACUUGUAGAUUUUUUAUGCAAAUUGGCCAAAAUUUUGUCCAGAUUCAUCCAUGUAAAGCAAAAAAAAAAUUCACUAUGUAUAUACAUAUAUAAUAUACUUCCUUUCCUUUUUAAGCAUUAUUAUGCAUACUAGCUAUGGGCCCGUGCGACACCGCGGGGAAAUAAUAUUUUAAUUAUUUUUUAGAAUAUUUAUUUUUUUAAAUACGUAUAAUUUUAUGAAGAUAUAAAAAUAUAUAAUAAUAUAUGUAAUAGAAAAUACAUUCCCACAAAUCAGAUAUAAUAUUUCACACUAAUUUUAUACGAAAUACAUUCAUUUCAAAAAUUUUAUAAUAUUAUAUAAUAUUAAAGUUAAAUAAAGUAUUACCUAACUAAAAUAGUAAGAGAACAUAAAAUAGCGCACUAUCAAAAAAUAAAAGAUUCACAACAAUUGUCUAUUUAUAAAAAAUAAAUCAACCAGAUAUAUAUCUAUUUUUUUAUAUUGUAUUUAUAAAAUUUUAUUAUAAAAGUAAAAUUUCAGUAAUUUUUAUAUUUAGACUUUUUAUAUAUUAUAGGGUGCAGUUAUUAGGUUAAACUCUAAUUUUAUCAUAUAAAUUAUUAAAAAAUAGUUUUUUUGUUUAUGUACGAAUUUUUAGACGCGACGUAAACAAAAAGAAAAGAAAAGAAAAGGUAAUGGGAGAGAGGGGGGAGCGGAGAAAGUGGGUGGGCCCCACCAAUGCUCCAAAAAAAGGAGAGCUCAAAACUAAACUUUAUUUAUGUUAAAGCUAAAGUCAAAUGGAAGAAUAUGUAAGAAUGUUUAUACACCGAACGUGUAAUUUUUUUUACACAGUAUUUAUGAAGUUUUAUUAUAGCGGUACAAAUCUAUUAAUUUUUGUAUCUAUAUUUUUUAUAUAUUAUAGAUCGUACUUAUCAGAUGAAAUUUUAAUUUUGUUAUAUUAAUUAUUAAAAAAUAGGCUUUUUUUUCUCUCUCUCACUCUCUUUCUCACACACCCUACACCCUUUUUUUUAAAUUUUUUCUCUCAAUACCUUUUCUUUUUUGUUUUUUUCUACAUCAAGUGUAAAAUUUUAUCAUAUGCACCAACCCUAUUUUUUAAUAGUCGAUAUAACAAAAUUAAAAUUUCAUACGGUAUAAAAAAAGUUGUACACCAAGUAUAUAAGAUAUGCUCAUAUAUAAUCUAUAAUUUGAUUUCUUCUUUGUUUUGUCUAUACCAAGUAUAAAAUUUUAGCACAUGAAUCAACCCUAUUUUUUACAUUUAGGGGCCGUUUGAUUGUAUGUAGUUGCAACUACACUGCAGUUGUAACUACAUAUAUAUGCAAAUUUGGUGUUUGGUUUGAUAUAUUUAACUCCAACUGCUGCAGUAGGAACUGCAGGAGGAGGCUCAACUGCAGCAGUUCGAACUACGCCCAAAUUGGAUGCAGUUUCAACUGCAGCAGUUGGAGAGAGUAAUUUUAAAUAAAAGACAUGCUUACAUCAUUAAUAAUUUUUAAACCAAAAUUAUUUUUCUUCUUUACAUUGAAAGUAAUCUCACCAUCAUAUAUAUAAAAUGAUAAAAUUUUAAAAAUUAUCUCUUAGCUGCAUGCAACCAAACAAAUUAUCUAACUUGCAGCGCUUUCUACUACAUUCAACCAAUCAGAAUUCUUAUAGUUGUAACUGCUGUAUUUCUAACUGCAUGCAUCUCUAACUACACUGUAUUUAUAAUUAGAUCUAACCAAACAGCCCUUUAGUAUAGGAAAAAAUAAAAAAGAAAUGGUGCUAAGAGAAAAAUAAAAUAGAAUAAGAGAUGUCGAGUGUGUGAGAGAGAGAGAGAGUGAGAGAGAGAGCGAAAAAAAAAAAAAAGUGGCCCCACCUCUUUGCUUGAGGAGACUAUUAAAAAAUAAGGUUAGUCCAUGUGCUAAAAUUUUAAGGAGACUGUGAGAUCCCUGGUGUUUGACUGUAGAGGUUUGUCGACAGCUCUGGAGAGUGUCGGGACAAGCCCGAGUCGCGUUGGCGUCAAAUAGACGUAAAACGGACUCCGUCGGACGCGAGAGCAGCCUUCAGCGAAGAAAUCUGCGAAAUAGCAGAUUUUUCUGCUUGUUGUACCGGUACAGCCAUCAUGGCGUACCGGUACACUAUACUGAUGCCGCGUAAUCUGCUCUCGGGUUGCUUCCUGUACCGGUACGCAAUCCCGUGUACCGGUACACCAGGGUAGGUGAGAGGGUGUUUUGGUCUUUUCUCUCCCUCGUUUGUAUCGAUUCCUUCUCUCUCUCUCUAUAUCAGUUGGUAACCGAGCAGAGGAAGAGAGAGAAGGCUUUUGUGCUUUCUUCUUUCUCUCUUUCUCUAAGCUUGGUGGAGGUGGAGCACGGUUGAGCCGGGGAUUCGCCGACGUCGCGCCGCGAGCCGUUCGAGCGAGCGUUUGUUGCCGGGGCAUUGCGAAGAGGCCGGGCGAGGGUGCGUCUUCGCCGUCCUGGACAUCGCGCCGAGGAUUGUCGCUGUUGAGGUGAGCAUUUUGGUCGCAAUUGCUCCGAGUACUUCGGGUAUCGUUGAUUUGAGCUUAAGUGCUGUUUUCGCAGAAUCUACCGUCGACUGUUAGUAUUUCGGCUCGUUCUCCGCGUAGGAGCGUCGGAUCGCGACGAAACUUGGUUCAUUGGAUUCUAGACUGCGAGAGGAUUCCACGGAGCCCUCACUUGCAAUUUUUGGACGAGGUUAGCUUGGUCGAAACUUGGUCUCUUUCAGCUGCUGUGAACUUAGGCUGAUUUGUGAUGUUUUGGUCGUUUUAGCUCGGCGACCGGUCUAGGUGGUCCCUGAGGAAUCCAGCAGCAUCGCGGGUGGCCGAGGCUGAGUUCGCUGCCAGGAAAUUGCACUUGAGGUGGGUUACAUCGGUUUUAUCUCCUAAGUUCAUAAUCGUCAACAUGUAUAGAUCUUGAGUUUGAUAAUUUAUUCUAGCUCGAAUUCAUGGAUUAUAUGAUAGAAUGCAAAUCUGAAUUUGGAGUAUGUGGUAAUAAAUUAAGUAGAUUAUAUAUGUUGGACUUGGAAACUGAAUUAGGAGAAAACCUGCGAUUUGGACCUGUCACCAGUUUUAACUACCUGAUUUAGCUCUAGGAGCCGUUAGAAAAUUGUACUGUCGCAGUUUCUUCGAGACGAGUACUCCAGGUAGUUUAGAAUGUAUUUACACUCGUGCUGGUUCGCCGAGUGGAUUUUUACAGGGUCGUUCAGGUCGUUUCGGACUGUUGGGUGCCGUCAGAGUUGACGGUGGACCCGUAUCGCCUUUUUGGCGUCAGAUUGUGCCGAGGGCACGUUACCUGUUGGUUGUUAGACCAGUUUGAGUCGAUUACUUGACUUUGGCUAGUUGGAGCCUGAUUGAGCUCGACAGAGAUACGCUGCAUACUCGGUUGGGUAGCGCCCACGAGUGCCACUCCGGAGUCAGGCUUGUGCUUUUGCGUUGGUGUCGCUCAUGCCAGUUGGACUUGCUCUCCACGGACCAGUUAGAGUGGAUAGAGCCCGAUAGUCGCAACGGGGCAGGGACGGGUGUAUUCACAGUCCCGGGGACGGGUAUGCUUACAGUCCCGAUUGGAUUGGGUCAGAUUUGACAUUUCCUACAGUUGGUUAGUGUAGAGCAUGAUAGUGUAGUGGAUGAUAGCGGUAGAGUAUGCUUCCUGCUUUCCUUCUAUCCUUGCUCCCUUCUGUAGACUUAGUGGGUGACCGAUGUUGUUUUGGGCGGUACCCACUGAGGACUACUUGUUUUUACAGUAGUUCUCACGCCCAGUUGUUACCUAUGUUUUUGCAGAGCCACAGGUUCCGGCUGCUGCACCGUCUGCGGACCAGGAUCGAGGCAAGGGCGUCGCGAGUUAGAGCCCUACCCGACGUGCUGAGCUAGAGGUGCCCUACUGCAGGUAGAUGUUUUGUUUCGAGUUUAUGUACAUAGUUGACUUAACUCGCCAGUGCGAGUAGCUCUGUAUUUUGGAUCUGAACUAUGUAUAUGAAACUCUGUUUUAUUUAGCUUCAGUUUUCUCUAGCAGCUCUCUACUACUGUUCGUAGUAGUGUUUGAUUUACAGGUACAGCUAUCGCUUCGUAUACAGGGAAAAUUUCUUUGUAUACGGCGGAUUUGUCGGCGUGCCCGGGGAACGUGUAAUCCGGGGCGUGACAGAUUAAGUUGGUAUCAGAGCUUUGCUGUAGGUCGUUGGGACCUAGGAAACCUAAGUUUGGCAAACCUUAGGGAAGCAAGACGUGAGAGGCGUAAUUUUAUUGCGAAAGUCAAUGAUUAUUUGUUUUAACUCCUCUUAGAGUAGAGUGAGUGACUGAAGGAGUUUCUGUUUUGGCCUGAGAAAUUAUGUUGGCUGCAGACGACAUAAUUUUGGAGGAAAACAGGGACCGCCUUCUAGACUUUCGUUGAUUGGGUCGAGAGUGUUGCGUUGUAUCUGACCCCGAUUUGUUCCUUUCAGCUAUGUAUCGUCGCCGAGGUCGACCGUCGUUGCGGGAGCGUGCCCAGUUGGCGCGGGAUCAUGCUGGACCUUCUGAGAGAUCUGAGCAGAUGGAGCAGAGUACUCGGCAGGAGCAGGGUGACAGACUGGGGGCGAGUGUACCCCCUGUUGUGGAGCCGAGUGCGCGACCAGAGACUAGCGCACCCCCUGAUCUGAGUGCACAGUUAGCUGCCCUGACCGAGGUGACGAGACAGCAGGGGGAGCUAUUGCAGAGGUUGUGUGAGAGGAUAGCUCAGCCACCGAGUUCUGUACCGAGGGCACCAGAGUCGCCAGUUCCACCCCCGACUACUCCAGUGACAGCACCAGCUGCAGCAGUUCCUCCAUCGGCAGCAGUUCCAGUAGCGCCAGUUGCGCCUGCUAGGGGGCCAGUACCGUUGACUGAGGCCGAGCAGGAGCGGUGGACGGAGAGGUUAGCUCGUUUUCGCCGAUUUGAUCCACCGAUCUUCGAUGGCAGAGGCACUGAGGCCUGGAUUGUUGAGGGAUGGGUCAGUGCGAUGGAGAAGUUAUUCGAGGAUCUGUUCGUUCCAGAGGGGGAGCAGGUACCCCUGGGAGUACACUGUCUAGCAGGUGAUGCUCAUGACUGGUGGCGGAGGACGAGGCGAGACCAGGGGCUAGUGGCGGCGCAGCUGAGUUGGGACGAGUUCUGUGGAAUGCUGUUUGGGAUGUUCUUUCCCAACAGUGUGAAGCAGAAGCUCGAGGAGGAUUUGAGGAGGCUUCAGCAGGGAGAUCGCCCAGUGCAGGAGUACGUUCGGGAGUUUACUCGACUCCUGAACUGUGUACCAUUUGUGGCCAGAGACGAGGCGCACCGAGUAUACAUGUUCGAGCAGGGGCUGAGACCGGACAUCUUCAGGUUAGUGCGGGCGCAGAGGUCGAGGACCCUGGAUGCGUCCAUAGAGCAGGCCCUAUGGGUGGAGAGAGGUGAGGUGUCGCUGCAGGAGAGGACUCAGGCCGUGGGGCAGGGUCAGGACAGGAAGCGCCCCUUUCCAGAUGACGGAGGGCAGUCGAGCAGCAGACGUCCGCCGAGACCUCCACGAUCACGUUCUCAGGGUCGUGGGUCUUCGGGGCGUCAGCGUUCCAGGGGAUCCCGUCAGCAGGGGCAGACUCAGAGGACGCCACAGUGUGUGAUCUGCGGGGGACCACACUGGCCUCGGCAGUGCGAGCAGAGAGAGGGCAGGUGCUACGGAUGUGGUCAGCCGGGACACAUGAGGGCAGCUUGUCCCCGAGCAGCAUCUCCAGCACCGUCAUCAGCUUCGGCACCACCAGCACCACAGCAGUCUUACGGAGCAGCACCGAGCUACCGCCAGGAGGACAGAUCGUCUGUGCCGCGGUCGAGUGAGCGGCGACAGCAGGCUCCGAGUGGCAGGGUCUAUGCAGCUCAGGUGGAGGACUCUUCAGCAGCCGACCGAGUGGUGGCAGGUAUCACUUUGAUUUCUGGCAUUAGAGUUCGCACUCUUUUUGAUACCGGUGCAUCGCAUUCCUUUGUUAGCCGAGCAUUUGCAUUGUUGCAUGGUCUAGAGUUAGGAGCGUUGUCUCAGGCACGAGAGGUGCAGAUCCCCGACCAUGUCUUGCAGGUUACAGAGUGUUGUUGGUCCUGUCCGGUGCAGUUAGACUCUUGGAUCAUGCCCGCAGACCUGUUGGUGUUAGGGCAGCUGCAGGACUUCGACGUAGUGCUCGGUAUGGAUUGGCUGGCGCGGUACUAUGCUACGAUCGACUGUGGAGCGAGGACGGUGACGUUCCGCGAGCCAGGCCAGGAGGAGUUUACUUUCAGAGGCUGCAGGAGCACGCUGUUUGCCACCUGGAUAUCUUCGGCGAGGGCUCGACAGAUGCUGAGCAGUGGGUGUAUCGCUUUCCUAGCGACAGUUGUGGAGGUACCUACGGCGGCGCCGAGACUCGAGGACAUCCCAGUAGUCCGCGAGUUUUCGGAUGUGUUUCCCCCUGAGUUGACGACAUUGCCGCCGGAGAGGGAGAUUGAGUUUGUGAUUGAUGUAGUUCCUGGAACUGCACCAAUCUCAAAGGUACCUUACAGGAUGGCACCGGCAGAGCUGAGAGAGCUAAAGGCGCAACUUCAGGAUCUGAUGGAUAGAGGGUUUGUGAGACCCAGUGUGUCGCCUUGGGGAGCGCCGGUGUUAUUUGUAAAGAAGAAGGAUGGUUCGCUCAGGUUAUGUGUGGAUUACCGGGAGCUGAAUAAAGUGACCAUCAAGAACAAGUAUCCUCUGCCGCGCAUUGAUGAUCUAUUCGAUCAGCUGCAAGGAUCUUGUGUCUUUUCGAAGAUUGAUCUCCAGUCAGGUUACCACCAGCUGAGGGUGAGGGCCGAGGAUGUUCCCAAGACGGCUUUUCGGACUCGGUACGGGCAUUAUGAGUUCACGGUGAUGCCUUUUGGAUUGACGAAUGCCCCUGCCGCAUUCAUGGAUUUGAUGAACAGAGUGUUCAAGCCGUUCUUGGAUAGGUUUGUGGUAGUCUUCAUCGACGAUAUCCUGAUUUACUCCCGGAGUGAUGCUGAGCAUGAGGAGCACUUGAGGAUUGUGCUACAGCUUCUGCGCGAGAAGAAGUUGUAUGCCAAGUUAAAGAAGUGCGAGUUCUGGCUACGGGAGGUUGCUUUCUUGGGCCACGUGAUUUCAGCUGAGGGCGUAGCAGUGGACCCGAAGAAGAUUGAGGCGAUUCGAGAUUGGCCUAGACCGACGACGGUUACUGAGGUGCGGAGUUUCCUUGGACUGGCAGGAUAUUACCGUCGGUUUGUGGAAGGCUUUGCGAAGCUUUCCACACCCCUCACGCGCUUGACGCGGAAGGGGAUUCGUUUUGUCUGGAGCGACGACUGUCAGAGGAGCUUUGACGAGUUGAGAUUGAGGUUGAUGUCGGCUCCUAUCCUUGCCCUUCCUGUUAUGGGCGAAGGAUUUGUGAUCUACAGUGAUGCAUCGCACAGUGGACUUGGUUGCGUGCUGAUGCAGCAUGGUAGGGUGAUUGCUUAUGCUUCACGGCAGUUAAAGGAUUAUGAGAAGAAUUACCCUACGCAUGACUUGGAGCUUGCCGCGGUGGUUUUUGCUUUGAAGCUCUGGCGGCAUUACUUGUACGGCGAGCACUGCGAGAUUUUUACUGAUCAUAAAAGUCUCAAGUAUCUGUUCACCCAAAAGGAGUUGAAUUUGAGACAGCGCCGGUGGUUGGAGUUGCUGAAGGAUUAUGACAUCAGUAUCCAGUAUCAUCCCGGCAAGGCGAAUGUGGUGGCAGAUGCGUUGAGCAGGAAGGCAGUGCAGAGCUUGAGUAUGUUGAUCACUCGGCAGAGACCGUUACUCGAGGAGCUGAGACGGCUGGGACUCGAGGUAGUGUCCCCUGGAUUUACUGCGAGAUUGAUGUCUAUGAUCUUGCAGCCCACUCUGUUAGAUAGGAUUCGAGAGAAACAGAGUGGGGAUCCACACUUGUCGAGGAUUCGAGAGCAGCUUGAGAGGGGACAGGCCGAGGGCUUUGUUGUGGACAGUUCGGGAGUACUGCGGUACAGGGACCGACUGUGUGUACCUAUGGAUUCAGAGAUCCGAGAGGACAUCUUGAGAGAGGCUCACUGUUCACCUUAUACGGUUCACCCCGGUGGAACCAAAAUGUAUAAGGAUUUAAAGGCUCAGUUUUGGUGGAAUGGAAUGAAGAGGGACAUUGGUAGAUUUGUGGCUCAGUGUCUGACUUGUCAACAGGUAAAGGCCGAGCAUCAGGUACCUGCUGGCAAGCUUCAGAGUCUACCAGUGCCCGAGUGGAAAUGGGAGCAGAUCACGAUGGACUUUGUCGUCGGAUUGCCGAGAGCACAGGGUGGUUUUGAUGCGAUUUGGGUGAUAGUGGACAGACUGACCAAGUCUGCUCACUUCUUACCAGUGCAGACCACUUGGUCCAGAGAGAGACUCGCUCAGUUGUACUUGGAUGAGAUAGUGAGGUUGCAUGGCGUGCCCACUUCGAUAGUAUCCGACCGGGACCCGAGGUUCGUAUCGCACUUCUGGAGGAGUCUUCAGACGGCCUUGGGCACUCAGUUGCAGUUCAGCACAGCAUUUCACCCACAGACAGAUGGUCAGUCAGAGCGGACCAUUCAGACUCUAGAGGACAUGCUGAGGGCAUGUGUCUUGGACUUUGGAGGAGGGUGGUAUCGGCAUUUGAGACUGGUUGAGUUUGCGUACAACAACAGCUAUCAAGCGAGCAUCCAGAUGGCUCCGUUUGAGGCGUUGUAUGGACGCAGAUGUCGAUCCCCUUUGUUUUGGAGUGAUGUGGGUGAGAGGAGGACGCUUGGGCCUGAGAUUCUGAUUGAGGCUGAGGAAAAGGUAAAAGAGGCGCGACGGCACAUAUUAGCAGCCCAGAGUCGACAGAGGAGCUAUGCUGAUACCCGGAGACGAGACUUGGAGUUCCAGGUGGGAGAUCAUGUUUUUCUUAAAGUCUCGCCGUCCAGAGGGAUUCGCCGAUUUGGUGUACGUGGAAAGCUCAGUCCACGUUUUGUAGGCCCUUUCGAGGUAUUGGAGCGAGUCGGGCCAGUUGCUUACAGGAUUGCUCUACCACCACGGCUAGCCGGCAUUCAUGAUGUGUUCCACGUCUCGGCUUUGAGGAAAUAUGUGUUCGACCCCUCCCACGUGAUCGACUUCACUCCGCUUGAGAUUGGCGAGGACCUGAGCUACGAGGAGCGACCGGUGCGGAUUCUGGCUCGUGAGUCGAGGGAAUUGCGCAACCGGGUCAUACCCUUUGUAAAGGUGCAGUGGAGUAAUCACGAGGAGCGGGAGGCGACUUGGGAGCCGGAGGCGAUGAUGAAGGAGUCCUACCCCUACCUGUUUGAGGCCCUGGAUUGAGGUAUGUGUACAGUUUCGCGGACGAAACUUUUUGUAGUGGGGGAGGAUGUAGUGUUCCUGAGCUUUGGAUAGGAUUGGCUUCAGUAUUAUAGACUGGUCGACAUCUCUGGAGAGUGUCGGACUGAGUCGGAGUCAAUUCUGCACGAAUUGGAUGCAGAAUUGGACUCGGCGCACUCAAAUAAGCAAAACUGGAGUUUUGCCAGAUUCGGGCGCCCAGAACAUUGUUAGGGUCGCCCAGAAACGAGUGUUGAAUUUAACUGAAACUGGAAGCCAAUUCGGAUCCCAUGUUCCGGGCGCCCAGAAGUGGGUCCGGAAAUUUCACCUCGUGAAUAUCGCUUGCUUCGACGCGUGGCAGGGCGGUAGGUGAGUUCCGCCGGUGCCGUUUACGGGCGCAGCACACCGCGGGCGGAGAGUCCGAGGGGCCCAUUUUGUGCAGGCCGGAUGUUCUGGUCGCCCAGAACAUGGUUCCGGGCGCCCAGAAACGCCCGUUUCUGCAGGGGCACUGGAUUGCGGCUAUUUUUCCUGGGGCUUAUCUGAUCUAUCCAGCAGCCUAUAAAUAGCUGAGAAGCGCCCCCUUUGAGCUCUUUUACCUGUUCUUCACAGAGGACUUAGAUUUUACUCCCAAAUCCCUCAAAUCUUUCCAAUUUGCAUCAAGAUCCACCUCUCCAAGAAUUGCAAGGUGCUGAUUUUGCAGUUCUUCAGCGACGACCUCCAGUGUUUUGGCUCGUGCGUGACGUAGGAAGGUCGGAUUUCAACGAAACUUGGUUUGCUGGAUUCUUGACUUCCAGAGGAAUCCACGAAGCCCUAAUUUGCAGAAUUUGGUGAAGGUUAGCUCAGUCGAACUCAGGUUUUCCUCUGCUGUUGUUGCUUUGGACAGAAUUUGCCAAUUUUUGAUGUUUUCUUGGGGUGAACUUGGGAAGCAGGGGCUUUGUGGAGUUGAGUUAUUUUCCCUAUCACCCAGUACUGGAAUUGGGACCCUCUCCACCUGAUUUGGAGUUCGUUUGGUGAGUUUUGACAUUGGAAUUGAGAUAUUUAAGCUUAAAUGCUGUUUUGCUGAAAUUCAUCGUCGACUGUUAGUAUUUCAGCUCGUACUCGACGUAGGAGCAUCGGAUUUCGUCGAGACUUGAUUCGUUGGUUUCGGGACUGCGAGAAGAAUCCACGAAGUCCUUACUUGUGGAUUUUGGUGAAGGUUAGCUUGGUCGAAACCCUUCUCUUCUCUGCUGCUGUGUACUUGGACUGAAUUGUGGAUUUUGAUGAUUUUUAUUGGAUUUUUGGGUGCAUUGUAAAUCCAGAUCUUAAGGGGCUUUGUUGCUGGUUUGAAGAGGUUUCCAGCAGUGUUGCUUGAGGAUCCGAGACCCUAUUGCUGCCAGGAAUUGCAUUAGAGGUGGGUGUUUCAUCGGUUUCGCUCCUAAGUGCAUGUUAGUCAACGUGUAUAGUUCGAGUGUUGUAAAUCAUGCUUUAAUUCAUCGAUUAGCAUUUUGAAUGUAAUAUGAAUGUAGAAGCAUGCUGAAAUGAAUAUUUAAAUUAUACAUGUUGGACUUGAAAUUUGACUUAGGAGAAAACCUGCGUUUUGACCCGUCAUAUGCUUAAACUACCAGAUUUAGCUCUAGGAGCCGUGUUCGAUUGUAUCGUUGCCGAGUCAGUGCAAUGGAUACCUUGGGUAGUUUAGAAUGUAUUUACACUCGUGCUGGUUCGCCGAGUGAAUUUUUGCAGGGUCGUUCAGGCCGUUUCGGACUGUUGGGUGCCGUCAGAGUUGACGGUGGACCGUAUCGCCUUUUUGGCGUCAGAUUGUGCCGAGGGCACGUUACCUGUUGGUUGUUAGACCAGUUUAAGUCGAUUACUUGACUUUGGCUAGUUGGAGCCUGAUUGAGCUCGACAGAGAUACGCUGCAUACUCGGUUGGGUAGCGCCCACGAGUGCCACUCCGGAGUCAGGCUUGUGCUUUUGCGUUGGUGUCGCUCAUGCCAGUUGGACUUGCUCUCCACGGACCAGUUAGUGUGGAUAGAGCCCGAUAGUCGCAACGGGGCAGGGACGGGUGUGUUCACAGUCCCAGGGACGGGUAUGUCUACAGUCCCGAUUGGAUUGGGUCAGAUUUGACAUUUCCUACAGUUGGUUAGUGUAGAGCAUGAUAGUAUAGUGAUUUGUAGCGGUUGAGUUUGUUUCCUGCUUUUCCUACUAUUCUUGCUCCCUCCUGUAGACUUAGUGGGUGGACCGAUGUUGUUUUGGGCGGUACCCACUGAGGACUACUUGUUUUUAUAGUAGUUCUCACGCCCAGUUGUUACCCCCGUUUUGCAGAGCCACAGGUUUCGGCUGCUGCGCCUUCCGCGGAUCAGGAUCGAGGUAAGGGCGUCGCGAGUUAGAGCCCUACCCGACGUGCUGAGCUAGAGGUGCCCCUACUGCAGGUAGAUGUUUUGUUUCGAGUUUAUGUACAUAGUGGACUUAACUCGCCAGUGCGAGUAGCUUUGUAUUUUGGAUUUGGACUAUGUAUAUGAAACUCAGUUUGUUUAGCUUCUGUUUUCUCUAGCAGCUCUCUACUACUGUUCGUAGUAGUGUUUGAUUUACAGGUACAGCUAUCGCUUCGUAUACAGGGAAAAUUCCUUUGUAUACGGCGGAUUUGUCGGCGUGCCCGGGGAAAGUGUAAUCCGGGGCGUGACAGAUUAAGUUGGUAUCAGAGCUUUGCUGUAGGUCGUGGGGACCUAGGAAACCUAAGUUUGGCAAACCUUAGGGAAGCAAGACGUGAGAGGCGUAAUUUUAUUGCGAAAGUCAAUGAUUAUUUGUUCUAACUCCUCUUAGAGCAGAGUGAGUGACUGAAGGAGUUUCUGUUUCGGCCUGAGAAAUUAUGUUGGCUGCAGACGACAUAAUUUUGGAGGGAAACAGGGACCGCCUUCUAGACUUUCGUUUGAUUGGGUCGAGAGUGUUUUGUUGUAUCUGACCCCGAAUUGUUCCUUUCAGCUAUGUAUCGUCGCCGGGGUCGACCGUCGUUGCGGGAGCGCGCCCAGUUGGCGCGGGAUCAUGCUGGACCUUCUGAGAGAUCUGAGCAGAUGGAGCAGAGUACUCGGCAGGAGCAGGGUGACAGACUGGGGGCGAGUGUACCCCCUGUUGUGGAGCCGAGUGCGCGACCAGAGACUAGCGCACCCCCUGAUCUGAGUGCACAGUUAGCUGCCCUGACCGAGGUGACGAGACAGCAGGGGGAGCUAUUGCAGAGGUUGUGUGAGAGGAUAGCUCAGCCACCGAGUUCUGUACCGAGGGCACCAGAGUCGCCAGUUCCACCCCCGACUACUCCAGUGACAGCACCAGCUGCAGCAGUUCCUCCAUCGGCAGCAGUUCCAGUAGCGCCAGUUGCGCCUGCUAGGGGGCCAGUACCGUUGACUGAGGCCGAGCAGGAGCGGUGGACGGAGAGGUUAGCUCGUUUUCGCCGAUUUGAUCCACCGAUCUUCGAUGGCAGAGGCACUGAGGCCUGGAUUGUUGAGGGAUGGGUCAGUGCGAUGGAGAAGUUAUUCGAGGAUCUGUUCGUUCCAGAGGGGGAGCAGGUACCCCUGGGAGUACACUGUCUAGCAGGUGAUGCUCAUGACUGGUGGCGGAGGACGAGGCGAGACCAGGGGCUAGUGGCGGCGCAGCUGAGUUGGGACGAGUUCUGUGGAAUGCUGUUUGGGAUGUUCUUUCCCAACAGUGUGAAGCAGAAGCUCGAGGAGGAUUUGAGGAGGCUUCAGCAGGGAGAUCGCCCAGUGCAGGAGUACGUUCGGGAGUUUACUCGACUCCUGAACUGUGUACCAUUUGCGGCCAGAGACGAGGCGCACAGAGUAUACAUGUUCGAGCAGGGGCUGAGACCGGACAUCUUCAGGUUAGUGCGGGCGCAGAGGUCGAGGACCCUGGAUGCGUCCAUAGAGCAGGCCCUAUGGGUGGAGAGAGGUGAGGUGUCGCUGCAGGAGAGGACUCAGGCCGUGGGGCAGGGUCAGGACAGGAAGCGCCCCUUUCCAGAUGACGGAGGGCAGUCGAGCAGCAGACGUCCGCCGAGACCUCCACGAUCACGUUCUCAGGGUCGUGGGUCUUCGGGGCGUCAGCGUUCCAGGGGAUCCCGUCAGCAGGGGCAGACUCAGAGGACGCCACAGUGUGUGAUCUGCGGGGGACCACACUGGCCUCGGCAGUGCGAGCAGAGAGAGGGCAGGUGCUACGGAUGUGGUCAGCCGGGACACAUGAGGGCAGCUUGUCCCCGAGCAGCAUCUCCAGCACCGUCAUCAGCUUCGGCACCACCAGCACCACAGCAGUCUUACGGAGCAGCACCGAGCUACCGCCAGGAGGACAGAUCGUCUGUGCCGCGGUCGAGUGAGCGGCGACAGCAGGCUCCGAGUGGCAGGGUCUAUGCAGCUCAGGUGGAGGACUCUUCAGCAGCCGACCGAGUGGUGGCAGGUAUCACUUUGAUUUCUGGCAUUAGAGUUCGCACUCUUUUUGAUACCGGUGCAUCGCAUUCCUUUGUUAGCCGAGCAUUUGCAUUGUUGCAUGGUCUAGAGUUAGGAGCGUUGUCUCAGGCACGAGAGGUGCAGAUCCCCGACCAUGUCUUGCAGGUUACAGAGUGUUGUUGGUCCUGUCCGGUGCAGUUAGACUCUUGGAUCAUGCCCGCAGACCUGUUGGUGUUAGGGCAGCUGCAGGACUUCGACGUAGUGCUCGGUAUGGAUUGGCUGGCGCGGUACUAUGCUACGAUCGACUGUGGAGCGAGGACGGUGACGUUCCGCGAGCCAGGCCAGGAGGAGUUUACUUUCAGAGGCUGCAGGAGCACGCUGUUUGCCACCUGGAUAUCUUCGGCGAGGGCUCGACAGAUGCUGAGCAGUGGGUGUAUCGCUUUCCUAGCGACAGUUGUGGAGGUACCUACGGCGGCGCCGAGACUCGAGGACAUCCCAGUAGUCCGCGAGUUUUCGGAUGUGUUUCCCCCUGAGUUGACGACAUUGCCGCCGGAGAGGGAGAUUGAGUUUGUGAUUGAUGUAGUUCCUGGAACUGCACCAAUCUCAAAGGUACCUUACAGGAUGGCACCGGCAGAGCUGAGAGAGCUAAAGGCGCAACUUCAGGAUCUGAUGGAUAGAGGGUUUGUGAGACCCAGUGUGUCGCCUUGGGGAGCGCCGGUGUUAUUUGUAAAGAAGAAGGAUGGUUCGCUCAGGUUAUGUGUGGAUUACCGGGAGCUGAAUAAAGUGACCAUCAAGAACAAGUAUCCUCUGCCGCGCAUUGAUGAUCUAUUCGAUCAGCUGCAAGGAUCUUGUGUCUUUUCGAAGAUUGAUCUCCAGUCAGGUUACCACCAGCUGAGGGUGAGGGCCGAGGAUGUUCCCAAGACGGCUUUUCGGACUCGGUACGGGCAUUAUGAGUUCACGGUGAUGCCUUUUGGAUUGACGAAUGCCCCUGCCGCAUUCAUGGAUUUGAUGAACAGAGUGUUCAAGCCGUUCUUGGAUAGGUUUGUGGUAGUCUUCAUCGACGAUAUCCUGAUUUACUCCCGGAGUGAUGCUGAGCAUGAGGAGCACUUGAGGAUUGUGCUACAGCUUCUGCGCGAGAAGAAGUUGUAUGCCAAGUUAAAGAAGUGCGAGUUCUGGCUACGGGAGGUUGCUUUCUUGGGCCACGUGAUUUCAGCUGAGGGCGUAGCAGUGGACCCGAAGAAGAUUGAGGCGAUUCGAGAUUGGCCUAGACCGACGACGGUUACUGAGGUACGGAGCUUCCUGGGACUGGCAGGAUAUUACCGUCGGUUUGUGGAAGGCUUUGCGAAGCUUUCCACACCCCUCACACGCUUGACGCGGAAGGGGAUUCGUUUUGUCUGGAGCGACGACUGUCAGAGGAGCUUUGACGAGUUGAGAUUGAGGUUGAUGUCGGCUCCUAUCCUUGCCCUUCCUGUUAUGGGCGAAGGAUUUGUGAUCUACAGUGAUGCAUCGCACAGUGGACUUGGUUGCGUGCUGAUGCAGCAUGGUAGGGUGAUUGCUUAUGCUUCACGGCAGUUAAAGGAUUAUGAGAAGAAUUACCCUACGCAUGACUUGGAGCUUGCCGCGGUGGUUUUUGCUUUGAAGCUCUGGCGGCAUUACUUGUACGGCGAGCACUGCGAGGUUUUCACCGAUCAUCAAAGUCUCAAGUAUCUGUUCACACAGAGGGAGCUGAAUCUGAGGCAGCGCCGGUGGUUGGAGUUACUGAAGGACUAUGACAUUAGUAUUCAGUAUCAUCCCGGCAGGGCGAAUGUGGUGGCAGAUGCGUUGAGCAGGAAGUCAGUGCAGAGCCUGAGUUUGAGGAUUACUGAGCAGAGACCCCUACUCGAGGAGCUACAGCGGCUGGGACUCGAGAUAGUACCCCCUGGGUCUACGGCGAGGCUGACGUCUCUAGUUUUACAGCCCACUCUGUUGGAUAGGAUCCGAGAGAAACAGAGUGGAGAUCCGUACUUGUUGAGGAUUAGAGAGCAGCUAGACAGGGGGCAGGCUGAGGGUUUUGCUUUGGACAGUUCGGGAGUACUACGGUACAGGGACCGACUGUGUGUGCCUGUGGAUCCGGAGAUUCGAGCGGAUAUUCUGAGAGAGGCUCAUUGUUCCCCUUAUACGGUUCAUCCUGGGGGAACCAAGAUGUAUAAGGAUCUUAAGGCACGAUUCUGGUGGCCUGGAAUGAAGCGGGACAUUGGCAGAUAUGUGGCUCAGUGUUUGACUUGCCAACAGGUGAAGGCCGAGCAUCAGGUGCCUGCUGGCAAGCUUCAGAGUCUGCCAGUUCCCGAGUGGAAGUGGGAGCACAUCACGAUGGACUUCGUCGUUGGAUUGCCUAGAGCGCAGGGUGGCUACGACGCGAUUUGGGUGAUAGUGGACAGACUGACCAAGUCUGCUCACUUCCUACCGGUUCAGACUACCUGGUCCAGGGAGAGACUUGCGCAGCUAUACUUGGAUGAGAUUGUUAGGCUGCACGGCGUGCCAGUGUCGAUUGUAUCAGACAGAGACCCGAGGUUUGUAUCCCAGUUUUGGAGGAGUUUGCAGACAGCCUUGGGUACACAGCUGCAUUUUAGCACGGCGUUCCACCCACAGACAGAUGGUCAGUCAGAGCGGACCAUACAGACUCUAGAGGACAUGCUGAGGGCAUGCGUCCUGGAUUUUGGAGGAGGGUGGUAUCGACAUGUGAGACUGGUUGAGUUUGCGUACAACAACAGCUAUCAAACGAGCAUUCAGAUGGCUCCGUUUGAGGCGUUGUAUGGACGCAGAUGUCGAUCCCCCCUGUUUUGGAGUGAUGUGGGUGAGCGGAGGACACUUGGACCGGAGAUUCUACUUGAGGCUGAGGAAAAGGUGAGAGUCGUUCGACGACACCUUUUGACAGCACAGAGCCGACAGAGGAGCUACGCCGAUACCAGGAGACGAGACUUGGAGUUUCAGGUUGGAGAUCAUGUUUUCCUCAAAGUCUCGCCGUCCCGAGGGAUACGCAGAUUUGGAGUACGUGGAAAGCUUAGUCCACGGUUUGUUGGCCCUUUCGAGGUAUUGGAGCGUAUCGGACCGGUGGCUUACAGGAUAGCUCUACCCCCGCGACUUGCUGGCAUCCAUGAUGUUUUCCACGUCUCAGCAUUGAGGAGAUACGUUUUCGAUCCCUCUCACGUGAUUGACUUCACUCCACUUGAGAUUGGCGAGGAUCUGAGAUACGAGGAGCGACCGUUGCGGAUUCUUGCUCGGGAGACGAAAGAAUUGCGCAACCGGGUCAUCCCGUAUGUGAAAGUGCAGUGGAGUAAUCAUGAUGAGCGGGAGGCGACUUGGGAGUCUGAGACGGUGAUGAGGGAAGCCUAUCCCUACUUGUUUGAUGCUUGAGUAGAGGUACGUUCAGUUUCGCGGACGAAACUUUUUGUAGUGGGGGAGGAUGUAGUAUACUAGUAUCCCUACACUUAGUAUAUAUAUAUAAGUGUGUGUGUGAGGGUACGUGUGUGUGUGUGUGUGAGUGCACAUGUGUGAGUAUGUGUAAUGCCAUGUGGCAUCACCUCCCCCCCCUCUUUUAUGCAUGCAGGGAAGAGAGAGAGAGGAGUUUAUCUCCUCUCUUCUCUCCUUUUCUCUUUCGUUCGGCCGUACCAAGGAAGCACGCGAGGGACGCCGCCGCGGAGCCGAUUUCGCCGUCGACGUCGCACCGCAGAGCCGUUCGAACCUACGGUUGCUGCCGUUGCAUCGUGAGGAGGCCGGGCGAGCGUGGAUCUUCGCCGUUCUUGACGUCGCGCCAGUGCUAGUCGCCGUCGAGGUGGGUGUUCCAUAGAAUUGCUUCCUAAUUUCCAAGCUUUUUCAAUUUCGAGCUAGUUGCUGUCCCUGCAGAUUUCCAGCGUCGACCGUUGGCGUUUCGGCUCGUACUCGACGUAGGAGCGUCGGAUUUCGACGAGGCUUGAUUCGCUGGAUUCAGGACUUCGAGAGGAAUCCACGAAGCCCUUACUUGCCAGAUUUCGUUGAGGUUAGAUUGGUCGAAUCCGUGCUGUACCUGACUGUUGCGAAUUUUGGGACUGAAACGGUGAUUUGUGCUUUGUAGAGCGUGGUGUUAGCUCGACUCCCGGAUUUGGAGGGUGUAGAUCGACCAGCAGGUGGUGCUGCAGCUGUGAGGGUGUUUUGCUGCCAGAAUUAGCGACUAAGGUGGGUUUACAUCGGUUUAUUCCUAAGUGUAGUAAUAGUCGACAUGUAUGAUUUUCUGUUCGGUAAAUCAUGUUGUAGUUCGUUUUUCAUAAUGAUAUCCUGGAUAAAUGCUGCAUAUAUAACAUGAUUAUUACCUUUUAAAUAUACAUGUUGGACUGGGUUUAAACUUAGGAGAAAACGCGAUUGGAAUCGACAUAUGUAUUAAACUGCCUGAUUUAGCUCUAGGAGCCGUUAUAGAAUUGUACUGUCGCAGCAUACUGUAGACGAGUACUCCAGGUAGUUUAGAAUACAUUUACGCUCGUGCUGGUAUGCCGAGUGAAUUUUUCUGAGGUCGUUUAGACUGUUUCGUACUAGUGGGCGCCGUCGGGACUGACGGUGGGCCCGGUUCGCCGUUUUGGCGUCGGAUUGUGCCGAGGGCACGUUGUUUGUUGUAUUUAGACUAGUCAGAGUUGUUACUGGACUUCGGCUUGAGUUAGAGAGCCUGUUUGAGCUCGACAGAGAUACGCUGCAUACUCGGUUGGGUAGCUCCCACGAGUGCCACUCCGGAGGCGGGCGCGGUGCUUUUGCGUUGGUGUCGCUCAUGCCAGUUGGACUUGCUCUCCACGGACCAGCUAGUGUGGAUAGAGCCUGAUAGUCGCAACGGGGCAGGGACGGGUGUGUUCACAGUCCCAGGGACGGGUAUGUUUACAGUCCCAAUUGGAUUGGGUCAGAUUUGACAUUUCCUACAGUCGGUUAAUGUAGAGCAUGAUAGUGUAGUGGAUGAUAGCGAUAGAGUGUACUUCCUGCUUUUCCUUCUAUCCUUGCUCCCUUCUGUAGACUUAGUGGGUGACCGAUGUCGUUUUGGGCGGUACCCACUGAGGACUACUUGUUUUUACAGUAGUUCUCACGCCCAGUUGUUACCUAUGUUUUUGCAGAGCCACAGGUUUCGGCUGCUGCACCGUCUGCGGACCUGGAUCGAGGCAAGGGCGUCGCGAGUUAGAGCCCUACCCGACGUGCUGAGCUAGAGGUGCCCUACUGCAGGUAGAUGUUUUGUUUCGAGUUUAUGUACAUAGUUGACUUAACUCGCCAGUGCGAGUAACUCUGUAUUUUGGAUCGGAACUAUGUAUAUGAAACUCUGUUUUAUUUAGCUUCAGUUUUCUCUAGCAGCUCUCUACUACUGUUCGUAGUAGUGUUUGAUUUACAGGUACAGCUAUCGCUUCGUAUACAGGGAAAAUUUCUUUGUAUAUGGCGGAUCUGUCGGCGUGCCCGGGGAACGUGUAAUCCGGGGCGUGACAGAUUAACUAUUAAAAAAUAAGGUUAGUCCAUGCGCUAAAAUUUUACAGUUGGUGUAGGCAAAAAUAAAAAAGAGUUCAAAUUAUAGAUUGUAUAUGAAUAUGUCUUAUACAUUCGAUGUACAAUUUUUUUUUUUUUUUUACACCGUAUGAAAUUUUAAUUUUAUUAUAUCGACUAUUAAAAGAUAGAGUAUUUUUGCCAGAAAUAUGAGAGUCCUUCUUUGUUAUCCUAUGCGAACUACUGAAUAUACACAACUUUCAUGCAUAUAUAACCUACUUUUAUUAUGACAAAGUAUUCGACCAGAUUCUGUUUCCUAGUUAUUUUAUUAAUUGCGUAUGUUUAAAUCAAGGGAAAACUUCAAAUACCCCAUUGUGGUUUCACUUUUUCUCACUUUAGUACCCUGUAGUUUAAAGUGUAUCAAGUAAGUACCCUGUGGUUUUGCACUUUUUCACUCUAGUACCCUAUGGUUUAAUGUGUAUCAAGUUAGUACCCUGUGGUUUCGCACUUUCUCACUUUAGUACCAUGUGGUUUCGCACUUUCUCACUUUAGCACUCUUUGGUUUAAAAACCACAGAGUACUAACUUGAUACAAAAAUAAAACUAUAGGGUACUAACUUGAUACAAAAAUAAAACCACAGAGUACUAACUUGAUACACUUUAAACCAUAGGGUAUUAAAGUGAGAAAGUGCGAAAUCACAGGGUACUAAUUUGAUACAUUUUAAAUCACAGGGUACUAAAAUGAAAAAGUACGAAAUCACAUGGGAAGUUUUUGAAGUUUUCCCUUAAAUCAAAUAUAUACAUUUGUAUACGUAGAAAAAAAUUUUAACCCAAAAUAUAUAGGUUCUCUUUGCUACUGUAAGAGACAUGUAUAUGAGCAUAUUUUGUACUUUCGGUGUACAAUUUUUUUUACACCGUUUGAAAUUUUGAUUUUGUUACAUCGACUAUUAAAAAAUAGGAUUGUAGGGAUGUAGGGGUGUAGGGUGUAGGGUGUAGGGUGUAUGGAUAUAGAUAGAUAGAAAGCUAAACUUUAUCUUAUACAAUCAUGAGUAUGUCUUAUACACUCGGUGUAUAACUUUUUUAACACCAUAUUAAUAAAAUUUUUAUUAUAAAGGUAAAAAUCUAUUAAUUUUUGUAUAUAUUUUUUUUUAUUAAUUAUAGAUUGUAUUUAUUAGAUAAAAUUUUAAUUUUGUUAUAUUGAUUAUUAAAAGGGAUAAUUGCCUAUAUACCCUUCAUACGUUUGAAAAUAUCCAAUUUACCCCUACUUUUUUUUCUUUCUAAAAUACCCCUCAUAUGUUCCACCAUUAUUGCAAAAUACCCCGGAGUUAUCUACUGUUAAGUUAUCUUGGGUUAAACGUGAGUUAAAUAUCUACCAUAGUUAAAAAAAAUUAAAAUGCCAAUUUUGCUAUUAACUUAAAGGCAAAUAAGAAAUGUUGAUGACGUUAGAGGGGUAUAUUGGAAAAGACCAAAAGUCAAAAUACUUUUUGUACCCCUACCUUUAAGGGCAAAUAAAAAAGUCAGUGAUGGUGGAAGGGUAUAUUUGAAAGGGCAAAAUAGUAAUUUUACAGAGUUAACAGAGUUAAUUAACAGAUUUUAACUCUAGGGGUAUAUUAAAAAUAGGUUGGAACAUAAAGAGGGUAUUUUAAAUAUUAGCCUUCUAAGAGAGAUAAAUCGGAAAGUCGGAAAUUUUUCAAAGUAUAUAAGAAAUUGCCCCUUAUUAAAAAAUAGGGUUGGUCUCCGCGAUAAAAUUUUACACUCGGUGUAGGAAAAAAAAAAAGGUGUUGAGAGAAUAAAAAAAAGGGAAAACUUCAAAUACCACCCCUGUGGUUUCACACUUUCGUACUUUAGUACCCUGUGGUUUAAAGUGUAUCAAUUUAGUGUCCGGUGGUUUCAUUUUUAUCUUUUUAUUAUCGAGUUUACUAUUUUUUUUUUAAAUCAGUAACAAAAUUAAAACUAAAGAGUACUAAAGUGAAUAUUUGAUAAACCAAGAUAAGGUAUCUAACGUUUUUUAUAUAUAAUUUAACGAAAUAUUAACGAAAAAGCUGACGAAAAGGUAAAAAUGAAACCACAUGACACUAACUUGAUACAAUUUAAACCACAGGGUACUAAAAUUAGAAAGUACAAAACCACGGGGGUGGUGUUUGAAGUUUAUCCUAAAAAAAAGAGUGUAGGGUGUGUGUGAAGGAGUGAGAGAAAAAAAAAAAAAAAAGUGGAAUGAGCCCUACCACUUUGCUUUAGGUUGCUGCCGUACACUAUCGACUAUUAAAAAAUAAGAUUGGUUCAUACGAUAAAAUUUAAAAUUUGGUGUAGAAAAAAAAAAAAAAAAGAAAAGGUGUUGAGAGAAAAAAAAAAUAAAAAAAGGUAUAGGGUGGGUGAGGGAGAUAGUAUGAGAGGGAGAAAAAAAAGUCAUGGGCCCACCUCUUUCCUUUUGAAGCCUAUUAAAAAAAGGGUUGGUCCAUGCACUAAAAUUUUACACUUGGUAUAAGCAAAAAUAAAAUAAAAUUCAAAUUAUAGAUUAUAAAUAAAUAUGUCUUAUACACUCGGUGUACAACUCUUUUUACACUGUAUGAAAUUUUAAUUUUGUUACAUCGAUUACUAAAAAAUAGGGUUGGUCCAUGUGAUAAAAUUUUACACAGGGUGUAUGCAAAAAAAAAAAAUGUUGAGAGAAAAAAAAUAAAAAAAGAAAUGGUGUAGGGUGUGUGUGAGAAAGAGAGAGAGUAGGAGAGAGAAAAAAAAUAGUAGGCCCCAGAGGAGUGAUAAAAUUUUAAUUUUGUUAUAUUGAUUAUUAAAAGAUAGGGUCGGUCCAUGGAAUAAAAUUUUACGCUCGGUAUGGGCCAAAAAAAAAAAAGAAAAGGUGUUGAGAGAAAAAAAAAAUAAAAAAAGGGUGUAGGCUAUAGGGUGUGUGAGAGAGUGAGAGAGAGAGAAAAAAAAUAGAGUGGGCCCCACCUCUUUGCUUUGAGGUGGCUGCCGUACAUUGUCGACUAUUAAAAAAUAGAAUUGGUCCAUAAAAUAAAAUUUUAAACUUGGUGCAGAAAAAACAAAAAAAAAAGUGUUGAGAGAAAAAAAUAAAAAAAAAGGGUGCAGGGUGUGAGAGAGAGAGAGAGAGAGUAUGAGAAAGUGAAAAAAAAAGUAGGCCUCACCUCUUUCCUUGAGGGGACUAUUAAAAAAUAGGGUUGGUUCAUGCGUUAAAAUUUUACACUUGGUGUAGGUAAAAACAAAAAAAAUUCAAAUUAUGGAUUGUAUAUGAGUAUAUCUUAUACACUCGGUGUACAACUUUUUUUUUAUACCGUAUGAAAUUUUAAUUUUGUUAUAUCGACUAUUAAAAAAUAGGAUUAAUCCAUGCGAUAAAAUUUUGCACAUGGUGUAGGCAAAAACAAAAAAAAAUGUUUGAGAGAAAGAAAAAAAAAGUGUAGGGUGUGUGUGUGAAAGAGAGUGAGUGAGAGAGAGAAAAAAAAAAGGGGCCCCAUUGGAGUGAUAAAAUUUUAAUUUUGUUAUAUUCAUUAUUAGAAAAUAAGGUUGGUCCAUGCGAUUGAAUUUUACACUCGGUGUAGAAAAAAAAACAAAACGGUGUUGAGAGAAAAAAAAAAAAAAAAAAAAAAAAGGUGUAGGGUGUGCGUGAGAGAGUGAGAGAGAGAAAAAAAAAAAGUGGAGUGGGCUCCACCUCUUUGUUUGAGGUGGUUGCCGUACACUAUCGACUAUUAAAAAAUAGAAUUAGUUCAUACGAUAAAAUUUUAAAAUUGGUGUAAAAAACAAAAAAGAAAAGGUGUUGAGAGUAAAAAAUUUAAAAAAAGUGUGUAGGAUGUGUGAGAGAGAGUAUGAGAGAGGAAAAAAGUGGGCCUCAUCUCUUUCCUUGAGAAGACUAUUAAAAAAUAGGAUUAGUUCAUGCGUUAAAAUUUUACACUUUGUGUAGCCAAAAAUAAAAAACUUUAAAUUAUAGAUUAUAUAUGAGUAUGUCUUAUACACUCGGUGUACAACUCUUUUUACACCGUAUGAAAUUUUAAUUUUGUUAUAUCGACUGCUAAAAAAAAGGUUAGUUCAUACGAUAAAAUUUACACAUAGUGUAUGCAAAAACAAAAAAAAAUAUUGAGAGUAAAAAAAAAAAAAAAAAGAAAGGGUGUAUCGUGUGCGUGAGAGAGAGAGAGAGAGAGUGAGAGAGAGAGAGAGAAAAAAAAAGUGGAUCCCACGGGAGUAAUAAAAUUUUAAUUUUGUUAUAUUGAUUAUUAAAAAUAAGGUUUAUCCAUGCGAUUAAAUUUUGCACUCGAUAAAAAAACAGUGUUGAGAGAAAAAGAAAAAAAAAAUGGUGUAGGGUGUGUGAGAGAAUGAGAGAGAGAGAAAAAAGUGGAGUGGGCCCCACCUCUUUGCUUGAGGUGGUUGCCGUACACUAUCGUCUAUUAAAAAAAAAAUUGGUCCAUAUGAUAAAAUUUUAAGCUUGCUGUAGAAAAAAAAAUAAAAAAAAAUGUGUUGAGAGAAAAAAAUAAAUAAAUAAGGGGUGUAGGGUCAGAGAGAGAGAAAGUGUGAGAGAGAGAAAAAAAAAGUCGGAUCCACCUCUUUUUUGGGAAAGACUAUUAAAAAAUAGGAUUAGUUCAUGCACUAAAUUUCACAUUUGUUGUAGGCAAAAAUAAAAACGAAUUCAAAUUAUAAAUUAUAUAUGAAUAUGUCUUAUAUACUGGUAUGAAAUUUUAAUUUUGUUAUAUCGACUAUUAAAAAAUAAAAUUAAUUUAUACGAUAAAAUUUUACAUAUAGUGUAGAAAAAAAAAUGUUGAGAAAAAAAAAAGUGUAGGAUGUGUGUGAGUGAGAGGAGGAAUUCUACACUGUCACACUUGCACCACGUCAUCAAUAACAAGCUAAUCACAUUCUUUCUUUUCAAACAAAAGUAUAAUAAAAAUAUUUUUUUAUAAUCAUAAUGGGAUAUAUAUCUCUAAAAGAAGAUAUUUGAUUGAUUUGUUACGCCUAAUCAUCAGUAUACUCGUUGUAUUUUAUAAUUUUUCAAGUGAGAGAGUGAAAGAGAAAAAAAAAAAAAUGAGCCCCACCGGAGUGAGGAGAACCUUGCCGUACGUGAUUCAGGUUCUCCACGUAUGGUAUAAAAUAAAAUAAGAUAAGAUAAGAUAACAAUAUACCGUACGUGAUUUAGGUUCUCCAUGUAUGGUAUAAAAUAAAAUAAGAUAAGAUAACAAUAUAUAUAAUAUUCAUACAUUAUGGACCCUAUGCUCUUUAGUACUGUUUCUUAUUUGAAAUGAAGAUGUACCAAAACGCCUCCUCAUUCUUUUCCCUCUCCUUCAUCGUCAUAUUUUUGUCCAUUUUUUCUCCAGUGUUGUGUAUUCGUAAUAUUGGCUCUAAUGAACCCGAAACAUUGCAAACUUACAUUGUUCGUGUGCAACCUCCUAUAGAGAUAGCCGAUGCUGGCUCCAACGAGCUUGAGAGUUGGUACAAGUCAUUCUUAUCCGAGUCUGUUUCCGACACCGGCGAGCCGCGGUUGCUUCACUCCUACAGCGAAGUCUUCAGCGGCUUUGCCGCGAAGCUCACACAAUUCGAACUUAAUUCAAUGCAAAAGAAAGAAGGGUUCGUGCGCGCUUUUCCGGAGCAGAAGCUCUACCUUCAGACGACCCACACGCCGGAGUUUCUGGGCCUCCGACCUGCGAGUAACGGACUUUGGGACGCCUCGGCGUUCGGCCGUGGCGUUAUCAUCGGCCUACUCGACACCGGCAUCGCUGCCGGCCACCCUUCCUUCUCCGACGCCGGCGUGCCGCCGCCGCCGGCCAGGUGGAAGGGCUCGUGCGCCCUCGAGGCCGGCUGCAACAACAAGCUCAUCGGCGCGCGCGCGUUCGUGCCGGGCCACGAUUCACCUCUCGACGACAGCGGGCACGGGACCCACACGGCGAGCACGGCCGCCGGCAACUUCGCGCCCGGCGCGCAGGCGUACGGGCAGGCCGGAGGCACGGCGGCCGGGAUGGCGCCGCGCGCGCACCUGGCCAUAUACAAGGUGUGCGGCACCUCGGGUUGCGCGUCCUCGGACGUGCUCGCCGGCCUGGACGCCGCCGUGAAGGACGGGGUCGACGUAAUCUCCAUCUCUUUGGGCGGUGGAUCCAUUCCUUUCGACGAGGAUGUGAUCGCCAUCGGCGCGUUCACCGCUUUUGAGAAGGGCAUAGUCGUCAGCUGCGCAGCAGGUAAUAAUACCAAUAACUGCUGCUAUUUUUUUUUUUUUUUAUACUCUCUUAUGGUAGUCUUACAUUUUAUUCAUCCAACAGGUAACGGCGGUCCCUUCAAUACCACGCUCUCUAACGAGGCGCCGUGGUACAUAACAGUGGGUGCGACCUCGGUCGACCGGAGCUUUAGAUCGUACGUACAGCUUAACAACGGGAAGGUCUACGAAGGCGAAUCUCUAAAUCAGUCAACCAAAAUUCCCUCGAACCCGGUCGAACUUGCGUACAAUUCCAACCGCAGCGGUUGCACCUACUUCAAAAAAUUCGACAUCAAGGGCAAAAUAGUUGUAUGCGAGCCCUUCUUUCCACUGGAAAAGAUCGCCAGAGCCGUUCUGAAAGCAGGAGGUGUCGGUGUCGUCGUCGUCAAUUUGGAGGCAGAGGGCUACUCUAUCAUCGCGAGAGACUUCCCCCUGCCGGCGUCGAGGUUGUCUGCUGCCGACGGGGACUCUGUCAUAGCCUACGCGUCUGACGCAAGAAACAACCCGAAAGCGUCGAUCACCUUCAACGGCACCGUCCUCGGAACUUCUCCGGCUCCCGUCGUCGCCUUCUUCUCUUCUCGGGGGCCGAACUUCCAGACCCCGUUGAUUCUAAAGCCCGACGUGUCGGCUCCGGGGCUAAACAUACUAGCCGCGUGGCCGACCCAAGUAGACGGAGGAAACGACGGUGCGAAUACUUUCAAUAUAAUCUCCGGCACUUCGAUGGCGACGCCGCACAUCAGCGGCAUCGCCGCGCUGAUAAAGAGCGUGCAUCCUGACUGGUCGGCAGCAGCCGUCAAGUCGGCAAUCAUCACCACAGCCGAUGAGAACGGUCGCGACGGCAAGCCCAUCUUAGACGAGCUUCACCAGAAGGCGAGCUUCUUCGCGGUGGGAGCCGGGCACGUCAACCCCUCGAAAGCGGCCGACCCCGGUCUGAUCUACGACAUCGGUGCCGAAGACUACGUUGGUUUCAUAUGCAGCGUUUACGGCGACGCGGGCGCUCGCGUUAUCGUCCGCAGCCACAACGUGUCGUGUUCGAAGGUGACGCAAAAGUCGGCGACGGAGCUCAACCUACCGUCGAUAGCGGCCUCUCCGGCUUGGUUGGAAACGGUGACGAUUACCCGCGCGGUGACGAACGUCGGUGAGCCGCAGUCGAGUUACACCGCUCAUGUAGAUAUUCCGGAGACGGUGACGAUCGAAGUCGCGCCGCCGACUUUGAGUUUCGCGGCGGUCAGCGAGAGGAAGACGUUCCAGGUGAGGGUGAGAUGGAGCCUCUUUCCGGCGAAUGGCGUAGUUGAAGGGAAUUUGAGGUGGGUUUCUAAUGAGCACGUUGUGAGGAGCCCCGUAGUCGUAGGAAAUUUUAAAGCUAGAAACUAGCUAGGUGAUGAAAAAUCAUUCCUGUUGUUGUAUUUCUGGUAAUUUCCCGAGUAAAUAAGGAUGUGCUUGCAAGAAGUGAAUUUGUUACCAUUCAAAAAUGCGAAAUUUGGUAAAUAUUUUUUCUCUAGGUGAUUUUUGGGUGCGGGUUAGGAAUGCAAACGUGACAGAUUUGGGGGCGGAAGGGUUUCUCCACCUCCCGUUUUAUUUCUUAUCGUGAUGGAAUGGAAUCUGAACGGAUUAUUUUUUUAUUUUAUUUUUUACUCUUACUUACUGUAACCAUUUGGGGUGGAUCAAAACGAGAGCGAAUUUUUGAUGAAUUUUUAACGGAACGGACUGAAGAAAAAAAAAGUCUUUCGCCUUUCGUUCAAUUUACUUGGCGGAUAAAUUCGAAACGGAUUAUAUGUUUCUAUAUUUUUGUUCCCACUUAUCGUCUCAUUCGGAGCAGAGCGGGGCAGGAGCCCCACCAGCUCAGAUUCAUUUGCAUCCCUAAUGCUGUUUCGCUGCGUGCUUGUUUUUAAAUUUUUUGGAUAAAAUUUUAUAUAUUAGAAAGAUUAAUAAAAGGAUAUUGUAUUGCUUGUAAUUCAUUCCUCUUAGUAUAUACUUAGCAACGAAAAAUAAAAACUUAAAAAAUAGCUUUUUUAAUUUCAAAAUUUUUUAAAUAAAUUAUUAUUUUCCACUUUGUUGGAUGCAUUGCAAAGUAACAAAUUAUAAUAAUCAUAACAAAAUUUUCAAUUCAUUAAAUUGUAUAAAAUUAUCAUUUAAAAAUUCAAUACAUGCCCUUUUUAGAGACUACAAUUUCAUUUAUAGGAUAGCCGUCUAAAAGUUAAAUAUAAUGAAUAUAUAUAUACUUUUUCACUCUAAAAAAUAAUCAUAAAUAUUUGGGCAAAUUAUAUGAAUCAGAUGACAUUUUAAAUUUCAAAUUUUAAUUUAUUGUAAUUAUUAACUCAAACUUUUAAAAGCGUUGCAAUCAAGUCUUAUAAUCUAAUUUAAGUUGAAUAAAUAUUGAUAAAUUAUUAAUAUAAAAGUGAUGUGAUAGUAUGUAUUGUGAUUAAUAAUAUAAUAAAAAUUAAAAUACUUCAUAACUUUUAUAUCCGUAAUACGUUAAUAUUCAAUUAACUAAAUUGAGCAGGGGACUUGAUUCUAACAAUUUUAAAAAUUUGAGUCAGUAAUUAUUACAAAUUAGUUUGAGGACUAUAGUGUCACGUAGAUCAUAGGACUAAACGCGCAAUUUAUCCUAAAAAUUUCUUUUAAUAUUACCAAAUACCGUUAGUAUUCAUGUACGGUAUAUUAAAUAUGUUUUUUUUUUUUGUAAAAUGUGUUAAUAUUUGGAUAGUUUGAAGGAGUAAUGAUACACUAGUGUAAAGACCCGCGCGAUGCGGCGGGGAGAUAAUAGAAAUAAAAUUUUAAAUUAUUUUUUGAGGUAAAAAAAAUAGUGAAAAUUAAAAUUUUAAAAUGUACAUGAUAACGUAAUAAAAUAAAAUAGCAAGUAAGUAUAUUUUACCGUCCAGAAAAGGCACACUCCUCAUAAAUGUACAUAGAAGCAAUAAUCAACCUUUUCUAUUCUAUAAAGCCUACUUUGAAUAAAAUUAUACAACUCCAUGGAGAAAAAAAAGGGAGAAAAAAGAAAACUCUUAAGUUUCCUAUUAGCUCAUUAUAUCAUUUCAUCUAAUGGGAGAUGUUGAUGGUGCCGGCGAUGCCUACGACGUACAAUAUUACAUUUAAAGUUGUUGCAAUCUUGAACAUUGUUCUCCAUUGAGCUCAUCAUUUUCCUAAAUUUUGUAUCUGCAUUUUUCUCUCCUAUUAUAUUACAAAAAUAAAACAAAAUGGAGAAAAAAAAUGACACUUUAGCCAAUUCAAAAAAAAAAAACUUAAUAAUUUUUAUUUUAAAAUAAUUUUACCUUGAGAAUCCAAAUAUGAUUUUGCGAAUGAUAACUAAUAGAUGAGAGUUGGGGUGAUAAUGGUGAGCAAAGCCCAAAAAGAAGAAGAUCAGAACAUAAGCUCUUGAGGCUUUUUUUUUUCUAUUUUUAAAUUUUAUUUAUAAAAAAAUUAAAAAGAAUAGAAAUCUUUAAAGAGCUCAUAUUUUACAAUGGAAGCAAAUUGGAGAAAGAGAACGUUCUUAGUUCACGACACCCGCCGCACAUCUUCGGGUGCGUCAUCUAUGUGGCGGCCGGCCGCGGUAGCUGACGAAGGCGAUGACGGAGCUGUAGUCGAAGUUGAAGAAAUCCGCUUUGCCGACAUGGAGGUCUAGGCGGAGGUGGAGGUCGAGGCAAAGGUGGAGGUCGAUGGUGGUGAGGGGCGGCGGAGCGACGUUUGACCCGGUCGAGAAGGAAGCGGGCGACGCCGACGUCGAGAUCGGAGGAAGAGGGCGGCAGCAGUGGAGCGGAAGAGGUAAAGGAAGUGGGCGACACCGAUGUCGAGAUCGGAGAAAGAGAGCAGCGGGAAGUCAAGGGAACGCGGGAUGGGAGAAGAGAGAGGGUGAGAGCAAACUUAUAGGAUUAAAAUAUUUAGGAGUUACUAUAUAUAUAACUUGAAGUAAUUUUAAAAUGAAUGAGAUUUAAAAAAUAUAAAUAAUAGAAUUAAUGUUACAGUUACUAAAUAAGAUAUAGUUUUAGAAAGAAAGGUGGUGGGUCAUUAAAUAGUAACAAAUAAUAAAUUAAUUUGUAAAAUAUAAUGAGAAAAAAUAUGAAAAGGCUAUUCUUAGUCAGAAAUGACAACAACUAUAUAUGGAGCCUAUUUUGAAAAUGAGAGAUGGAUCAUAUUUGGUAUAAUUUGACAAUUAAUUAUCAUAGUUUAUAAUAAUUGAUCAAGCAAUUAUGAGGAACCGUUUUCUAAUUUAGAAAAUUAAUUGCUAAUAGAAACAGCUAGUAUGAAUUUGACAAUUAAUUAUCAUAGUUUAUAAUAAUUGAUCAAGCAAUUAUGAGGAACCGUUUUCUAAUUUAGAAAAUUAAUUGCUAAUAGAAACAGUUAGUAUGAAACGUAUAUGGUUAUGUAGAAUUUGAAAUAUAGCAAUAACCUGUCAAAAAAAAAUCAGAAAAAAUUCUAAAAAAGGAGGUCAUGCCACCUCAGCUUUUGUUAUUGGGGAUUAAUAGAAAAUAAUAUAGAAAAUAAUAGAUUCUACAGAGACCUAGCCACAAUUUUGGGACACUAUGAAUUACUAAUUAUUUUGCAUUGCUAUUGGGUUUUCCAACUGUAUGAUAUCUAAAUGGAGGUUGAGAUCAAGUAUGUAUCUAAACAGGGUAAUAAAUAUAUUCAAAAUAAGAAUAAAGAAAUUUAGCAUUGAUUUAAUCGAAAAUUAUAAAUUAAAGUUAGGUGCACUAAUCAAAAUAAAUUAUAGUUUGAAUAUUUUAAUAAAAUUUUAUCAAACAGUUGCGGACAAUAGUGCAAUUUGCCUUAAAAAUCACGUCAAAUGUUGUUUUUACCUUCCUGGUCAAUGUCCCAACAAUCCUUUAGAUUGCUAGACAUUUGACGACUAAAAAUAUAUAACUUAUGUAAAGUGCAUGAAAUGAAUUUACAAUAAAAGCCCUGCAUUAGAUUAUCUACCCCUAUAAUUAAUAUAACAAUUAUAACCCUCUAGAUAUAUAACUUUAUUACAUUUGAAUCCAUUAGAGAUUAACGUUUUGUAAAUAUAUUCUUAAUAUUUUAUGCACUAUAUGCAUAGAAAUAUUUGAAUAUAGAUGCAUUUUCCAAAAACGAAAAAAAGUAUUAGUUGAGAAAAUUUAAUAGACUAAAACUUUUUGCUCGGUUUACAUAUAGUGUGUGAUAUCAAAGUCAACCUAGUAUAUUUUAUUAAUAUCGUUCAUAAUUUAUAUUAUAGUGAAAAAAAGAUUACUCUUUUUUUUUGAAAAAAAAGAAAAUUUUUCUUUUUUUUCUUUCUUUUUUUUUUUUUGGAUACUCAGUCUUUGGCUUGAUAACUAAAUUUUGGAGAACAAUUUUUGCUGUUCCAAUAUAAACUAGAACAAGUUGUAAUUACGUUUGGAUGUUGUUUGUUUGUUUUUAGAAAAUAUUCUUAAUAGUGUAUGAAUAUUUAUGUUGAAAUAAGGGGUUGAAAAGAUAAAAAUUAAACAUAAUGACAAAUUUGCCCUUGAAUAUAAUAAUUAAAUAUGAUUUAAUAAAUUAAGUAUUAAAAUAAAUUAAUUUACAAAUUAAGUAUAUUUGUACAUUAUUUUGAAAAUAAUGUUUUAGUAGUAUUCAAUUUAUUUUUUUUCUUUCGAAACUAAUUUAAAAUAUAACUAUCUAAAACGGAAUAGCACUUAUUAAAUUAAAUAAAUCAUUCAAUCGAUUUCUUUUAAUUUAUUAAUUAAAUUAAAUAUU
This 32590-nucleotide long non-coding RNA is filed under the name Ananas comosus (pineapple). RNAcentral describes it as "long non-coding RNA (ACOM_LNC015518)". Lineage: Eukaryota; Viridiplantae; Streptophyta; Magnoliopsida; Poales; Bromeliaceae. The record is from RNAcentral.